Molecule: long non-coding RNA, 544 nt
Organism: Salvia miltiorrhiza (redroot sage)
Lineage: Eukaryota; Viridiplantae; Streptophyta; Magnoliopsida; Lamiales; Lamiaceae
Exons: 2
Source: RefSeq, a predicted model, not a curated record
UCUCCUUUCACCUCUAUCUCUCUCACUCUGUCUCGCCGGAAGUCAGCCGCACGCCGCCGCCUUGGGUGUUCACGGCCAUCGCCUGGCCGUGGAAGAGCACGGCCGCCGCCUGCCCGCCCUGAUUCUCUCUCUCGGUUUCUAGAUCUCUAGAUCGGAACAGGGCAUGCGCCCUCUCUGCCGGAGUCCAAGCCAGGCCGCCGUCUCUUCGUCCUCCAUCGCCGCCGUUCGUCGUCGGAUUCGCUGUGAGGAGCCGAGCACCGUCUCACAAAGAUCGGAAGCCACCGCGGCUCCGUCGCCGUCCGUCAACCGCCGGCGACGACGAGCCACCGAGGCUGCCCUCCCCCUGACCUCGACUCACACACGCAAUCAGCCAACACAAAGGGUCUUUGUGCAAGAAUCAUAUACUGUAAUUGCUCAAAUAAAAGUUUUAACUCUUUCCUUGUAACUUCAGUUCACAAGUACAUAUUUAGUAACUGUAAAUCUAUGAAUUUGCUACUCAUUUUCUUCAUUUAUCAAAGCAUAUGUAAAUCUGAGUUAAUGAGCA